AUUGAACGCUGGCGGCAUGCUUUACACAUGCCAGUCGAACGGCAGCGCGGGCUUCGGCCUGGCGGCGAGUGGCGAACGGGUGAGUAAUGCAUCGGAACGUGCCCAGCAGUGGGGGAUAGCCCGGCGAAAGCCGGAUUAAUACCGCAUACGACCUGAGGGUGAAAGCGGGGGACCGAAAGGCCUCGCGCUAUUGGAGCGGCCGAUGUCGGAUUAGCUAGUUGGUGGGGUAAAGGCUUACCAAGGCGACGAUCCGUAGCUGGUCUGAGAGGACGACCAGCCACACUGGGACUGAGACACGGCCCAGACUCCUACGGGAGGCAGCAGUGGGGAAUUUUGGACAAUGGGGGCAACCCUGAUCCAGCCAUGCCGCGUGCGGGAAGAAGGCCUUCGGGUUGUAAACCGCUUCUGUUCGGGAAGAAAUCCUCUGGGCUAAUACCCCGGGGGGAUGACGGUACCGGAAGAAUAAGCACCGGCUAACUACGUG
RNAcentral lists this ribosomal RNA (484 nucleotides) under uncultured bacterium. RNAcentral describes it as "partial 16S ribosomal RNA". It matches the Rfam family "Bacterial small subunit ribosomal RNA", at positions 28 to 507 of the family's 1533-position model. The record is from RNAcentral.